GACGAACGCUGGCGGCGCGCUUAACACAUGCAAGUCGAACGGAAAGGCCUGCUUUCCCUUGUGGAUUGCGGGUACUCGAGUGGCGAACGGGUGAGUAACACGUGAGUGAUCUGCCCCCAACUUGGGUAUAAGCCUGGGAAACUGGGUCUAAUUCCCGAUAGGACUGCAGGGUGGUGCCUGUGGUGGAAAACGAUUUUCUAGUGGUUGGGGAUGAGCUCGCGGCCUAUCAGCUUGUUGGUGGGGUAAUGGCCUACCAAGGCGGCGACGGGUAGCCGGCCUGAGAGGGUGGACGGCCACAUUGGGACUGAGAUACGGCCCAGACUCCUACGGGAGGCAGCAGUGGGGAAUAUUGCACAAUGGGCGGAGGCCUGAUGCAGCGACGCCGCGUGGGGGAUGACGGCCUUCGGGUUGUAAACUCCUUUCGACCGCGAGGAAGCCACCUGGUUGGAAGGGUGGUGACGGUAGUGGUAGAAGAAGCACCGGCUAACUACGUG
This 494-nucleotide ribosomal RNA is filed under the name uncultured bacterium. RNAcentral's name for it is "partial 16S ribosomal RNA". It matches the Rfam family "Bacterial small subunit ribosomal RNA", at positions 28 to 507 of the family's 1533-position model. The record is from RNAcentral.